This 446-nucleotide ribosomal RNA is filed under the name Escherichia coli. RNAcentral describes it as "partial 23S ribosomal RNA". It matches the Rfam family "Bacterial large subunit ribosomal RNA", at positions 555 to 1001 of the family's 2925-position model. Lineage: Bacteria; Pseudomonadati; Pseudomonadota; Gammaproteobacteria; Enterobacterales; Enterobacteriaceae. The record is from RNAcentral.
ACCGUGUACGUACAAGCAGUGGGAGCACGCUUAGGCGUGUGACUGCGUACCUUUUGUAUAAUGGGUCAGCGACUUAUAUUCUGUAGCAAGGUUAACCGAAUAGGGGAGCCGAAGGGAAACCGAGUCUUAACUGGGCGUUAAGUUGCAGGGUAUAGACCCGAAACCCGGUGAUCUAGCCAUGGGCAGGUUGAAGGUUGGGUAACACUAACUGGAGGACCGAACCGACUAAUGUUGAAAAAUUAGCGGAUGACUUGUGGCUGGGGGUGAAAGGCCAAUCAAACCGGGAGAUAGCUGGUUCUCCCCGAAAGCUAUUUAGGUAGCGCCUCGUGAAUUCAUCUCCGGGGGUAGAGCACUGUUUCGGCAAGGGGGUCAUCCCGACUUACCAACCCGAUGCAAACUGCGAAUACCGGAGAAUGUUAUCACGGGAGACACACGGCGGGUGCUAA